AUUGAACGCUGGCGGCAUGCCUUACACAUGCAAGUCGAACGGUAACGGGCCUUCGGGUGCCGACGAGUGGCGAACGGGUGAGUAAUGCAUCGGAACGUACCUUUCAGUGGGGGAUAACGUAGCGAAAGUUACGCUAAUACCGCAUAUUCUGUGAGCAGGAAAGCAGGGGAUCGCAAGACCUUGCGCUGAUUGAGCGGCCGAUGUCAGAUUAGCUAGUUGGUGAGGUAAAAGGCUCACCAAGGCGACGAUCUGUAGCGGGUCUGAGAGGAUGAUCCGCCACACUGGAACUGAGACACGGUCCAGACUCCUACGGGAGGCAGCAGUGGGGAAUUUUGGACAAUGGGGGCAACCCUGAUCCAGCCAUGCCGCGUGAGUGAAGAAGGCCUCGGGUUGGUUAAAG
This 400-nucleotide ribosomal RNA is filed under the name uncultured bacterium. Its description in RNAcentral is "bacterial SSU rRNA". It matches the Rfam family "Bacterial small subunit ribosomal RNA", at positions 30 to 430 of the family's 1533-position model. The record is from RNAcentral.